Molecule: long non-coding RNA, 2007 nt
Organism: Orcinus orca (killer whale)
Lineage: Eukaryota; Metazoa; Chordata; Mammalia; Artiodactyla; Delphinidae
Exons: 3
Source: RefSeq, a predicted model, not a curated record
UGGGGCUUCCCCGGGAGGGUGACGAUUUCCCAUCCUUCUCACUUUAGCUCACAAGUAAACCCUCCCGGCCCUCCCAGGAUCCCGGGGACCCAGCCUUCCUUCCACAGCCCUCCCUUCCUUCUCCCCAUCUGUUUGUCCUGGAGGAGCCAAGAAGCUGGCUCUGGACAGCCUUGUCAUCCGUGUAUUCAUUCACUUGACAUUUACUAAGCACCUACUAUGUGCCAGCACUGUGUGACUUCACCCAUUUGCAAGAGGGAGUCAGACAAGCUGCCUGCCCUUGCGUGGCCCACAGUUCUGGGCAGGGAGAGUGUGUACAGGGAGACAGACAGCGCUCUGUUUAGCAAAUAUAUGGUUGCAGCUUGUGAUAAAGAGCCCGUUUGCUUCCUUCCUAGCGUGUGUCACACUCUGUAAUCACCUUAUUUAUUCAUUCAUUUUAUUUAUUUGUAGGUCUGACCCAGGAGACUGUGAGCUCCGCAAGGGCAAGAGACCGUGUCUGUCUUAUUCAUCUGCCCCACGUCCGCAGGAUCUUACUGGGGACAUGGAACACGGGCUGAAUCGUCCUGGCCACCCCACUCGUGUCUUCUUGGCCACAGAAGGUGGCAGCUUGGGGGAGUAGGAGCUGGCGUGGGAGAUAAAGGGGUUGGGGGCAAGAAAAGUCACGAGGAGCAGAGGAGAGGCCCUGAGACUGCGGGGAGUCUCCAGGUCUCCUGGCUACCAUCAGCGCCGCCCCUGCCCGCAACCGCUGUGUUUCUCAGGGUGGCCCAGGAACCCACACGCUUCAGCAUCCCAGGGAGUAUGUGUUUGUUAACAUGCAGAUUCCUGGGCUGUACCAAGACCCACCCAUCUGUAAUCUCAGAAGAGGGACCUUGGAAUCUGUAUUUUUAAAUGCUCCCCAGAUUGGGGUGAGGCCAUACCAUUGGAGAUGGGAGAAUGACUGUCUGCAGAAGAAUGGGCUGGGCCUCCGCCCUAGGAGGAAAAGGCUCUGUGGUAAGGAACCUGCACACCCCUCUCUCCAGGACUGGGGCAAUGCUGCCCUUCUUGUUUCAAACUGGUUCACAGAAACACCCGAGCCAGCCAGGGAGUGAGUGAGCACCUCUCCAGCUGCUGGGGAAACAUUGACAGCAAAUAAGGAGGGUGUGGGUGACCCUUCAGAAGGUGGUGGUCCUCCUGGGAGCCGGCAGCCUGGCCCAGCUGUAGGGAGGGGACAGAGUUCAGGGGCCUGGUUGCCAGGGAACAGGAUGGCCCUACGGGUACUAUCUCCGUGAGGUUAACCGUCACAUAAACCGCAGGAAAGCAAACACUCUCCCUGAGACCCCACCCCACGGCACAGGCAGAGCAGAUGAGUCACUUGGCAUAAGAGGGCUCCAUGGAAGCAAACAAAUCCCAUCUGCCCAGAGGAGAACUCACAGGGCCAGGUCACAGCUCCCAUCCCGUCCGGCCUGCCCACAGAGCAGCGUGCACACGCGUGUACACAUGUGCACACACACAUACACACACAUACACAGCAGCACCAGCUCAGAAACCAGAUUUUAGAGACUGGAGGGAGGAGGGAUGGUGCAGCACAACUCAAAUUCCUCCCUCAAUCUGCUAAUUCUCCCUGAAGCACCUGGGCUGGGCCCAGCCUAGUCAGCGGAAGCCUGGCCCCUAUGCCCGAGCCCAGGAGGGUGGAGGCGGGUGGGGGUCUGAGGGCGCGGGGCCAGAGCAGGCUAACCCAGGAACCAGCCCAGCUGGGCACGGGGCCUCUCAGUACUCUUCCCUGGAACAUGAGAUAAGAGAGCUUCCUCCUGCGGGGGAGGACUGGGAAGGCUUCACCGGUAUGGGUCCUUGGGGAGAGUCAAUCAGCUGAAGCAUGUUGGCCACAUGCCAUGUUGCCUGGCACGGAGUUGGUCCUCAAUAAACGAGAAAUGGCAUUAAAUCAUGUGUCACAGGUGUCACUCAGCAGCUGAGCUACAAGCCUGCUAACCUGGAGGUCUCUACUUAGGUUCCCUCUCAAAAGCCAAAUUUCAC